UACGGGGGGGGCAAGCGUUGUUCGGAAUUACUGGGCGUAAAGAGUGUGUAGGCGGUGCUCCAAGUUCGGUGUGAAAUCUCCCGGCUCAACUGGGAGGGUGCGCCGAAAACUGGAGUGCUGGAGCGCGGGAGAGGAAAGCGGAAUUCCUGGUGUAGCGGUGAAAUGCGUAGAUAUCAGGAGGAACACCGGCGGUGUAGACGGCUUUCUGGACCGUAGCUGACGCUGAGACACGAAAGCGUGGGUAGCAAACAGG
This 253-nucleotide ribosomal RNA is filed under the name uncultured bacterium. Its description in RNAcentral is "partial 16S ribosomal RNA". It matches the Rfam family "Bacterial small subunit ribosomal RNA", at positions 524 to 776 of the family's 1533-position model. The record is from RNAcentral.